RNAcentral lists this ribosomal RNA (253 nucleotides) under uncultured bacterium. Its description in RNAcentral is "partial 16S ribosomal RNA". It matches the Rfam family "Bacterial small subunit ribosomal RNA", at positions 524 to 776 of the family's 1533-position model. The record is from RNAcentral.
UACAGAGGGGGCAAGCGUUAUUCGGAAUUAUUGGGCGUAAAGGGCGCGUAGGCGGCUUGGCAAGUGACGGGUGAAAUCCCUCGGCUUAACCGAGGAACUGCCUGUCAGACUGCUUUGCUUGAGUCCGGGAGAGGUGAGUGGAAUUCCCAGUGUAGCGGUGAAAUGCGUAGAUAUUGGGAGGAACACCCGUGGCGAAGGCGGCUCUCUGGGACGGUACUGACGCUGAGACGCGAAAGCGUGGGGAGCGAACAGG